RNAcentral lists this ribosomal RNA (292 nucleotides) under uncultured bacterium. RNAcentral's name for it is "partial 16S ribosomal RNA". It matches the Rfam family "Bacterial small subunit ribosomal RNA", at positions 505 to 796 of the family's 1533-position model. The record is from RNAcentral.
GUGUCAGCAGCCGCGGUAAUACGUAGGGUGCGAGCGUUAAUCGGAAUUACUGGGCGUAAAGCGUGCGCAGGCGGUUUUUUAAGACAGGCGUGAAAUCCCCGGGCUUAACCUGGGAACUGCGCUUGUGACUGGAAGGCUAGAGUACGGCAGAGGGGGGUGGAAUUCCACGUGUAGCAGUGAAAUGCGUAGAGAUGUGGAGGAACACCGAUGGCGAAGGCAGCCCCCUGGGCCGAUACUGACGCUCAUGCACGAAAGCGUGGGGAGCAAACAGGAUUAGAUACCCUAGUAGUCC